RNAcentral lists this long non-coding RNA (318 nucleotides) under Brassica rapa (field mustard). RNAcentral describes it as "long non-coding RNA (BRAP_LNC004113)". The record is from RNAcentral. Lineage: Eukaryota; Viridiplantae; Streptophyta; Magnoliopsida; Brassicales; Brassicaceae.
AUCAAACCGCCGUUCGCGGGAACAAUCUGCUUGAUGUAGAUAUUGUGUAUGAUUACAUUAUUCACAAACUGCAGCGUUAGUCCAGAACCUCCCAUGAUGUACACCCUAGCUCCACGUCCAUCGAUCGUUUUAUCGCUCGUCAUCAUCAGUUCCUGUUGCAGUUUUAUAACCAUGCUUCUUGCGAAGAUGAUCCAAAGCGGUCCGUCUCGUGUCACCGCGUGUCUUAAUGUUCCUGGCCUAGGGCUGAUAAGUUCGUCGUCUGAGGCAUCGGUGACUACGUAGAUCGGUCCGUCUUUUCCUCCGGUGGUUCUCCUGCCG